Molecule: ribosomal RNA, 433 nt
Filed under: uncultured bacterium
Lineage: Bacteria
Description: partial 16S ribosomal RNA
Rfam family: Bacterial small subunit ribosomal RNA
Source: RNAcentral
AGCGAACGCUGGCGGCAGGCCUAACACAUGCAAGUCGAACGGGCACUUCGGUGCUAGUGGCGGAUGGGGGAGUAACAGGUUGGAACGUACCUUUCGGUUCGGAAUAAUCCAGGGGAACAUGGACUAAUACCGGCUAUGCCCUUCGGGGCAAAGAUUCAUCGCGGAUAGGUCGGCCCGCGUCUGAUUAGCUAGUUGGUGAGGUAAUGGCUCACCAAGGCGACGAUCAGUAGCUGGUGUGAGAGGAUGAGCAGCGACACUGGUACUGGGACACGGCCCGAACUCCUACGGGAGGCAGCAGUGGGGAAUAUUGGACAAUGGGCGCAAGCAUGUUCCUGCCAUGCCGCGUGAGUGAUGAAGGUCUUGGGGUUGUAAAGCUCUUUUGUCCGGGAAGAUAAUGACUGUACCGGAAGAAUAAGCCCCGGCUAACUUCGUG